CAGACAAAGGCAAGUACUAGAAGACGGCCACAUGCCACCUCCAUUCUGGCAGGGCAAAACACGUUACUGCCACACCUACCAAGUGUAAUAUGAGCAAAGGCGAUUAUGAUGGAGUGCUUCAGGGUAGGAAAAG
Long non-coding RNA from Strigops habroptila (Kakapo), 133 nucleotides. RefSeq lists it as uncharacterized. NCBI's taxonomy places the organism in Eukaryota, Metazoa, Chordata, Aves, Psittaciformes, Psittacidae. The transcript has 2 exons. The record is from RefSeq and is a predicted model, not a curated record.